ACGAACGCUGGCGGCGUGCUUCACACAUGCAAGUCGAACGCUGAACCCGCUUCGGUGGGGGAUGAGUGGCGAACGGGUGAGUAGCACGUGGGCAACCUGCCCCCGGCUCUGGGAUAACUCCAAGAAAUUGGGGCUAAUACCGGAUGUGACCGCUGGCCGCAUGGUCUGGUGGUGGAAAGGGUUUCCGGCUGGGGAUGGGCCCGCGGCCUAUCAGCUUGUUGGUGGGGUAGUGGCCUACCAAGGCGACGACGGGUAGCCGGCCUGAGAGGGUGACCGGCCACACUGGGACUGAGACACGGCCCAGACUCCUACGGGAGGCAGCAGUGGGGAAUAUUGCGCAAUGGGCGGAAGCCUGACGCAGCGACGCCGCGUGGGGGAUGACGGCCUUCGGGUUGUAAACCUCUUUCAGCAGGGACGAAGCGCAAGUGACGGUACCUGCAGAAGAAGCACCGGCCAACUACGUG
This 464-nucleotide ribosomal RNA is filed under the name uncultured bacterium. RNAcentral's name for it is "partial 16S ribosomal RNA". It matches the Rfam family "Bacterial small subunit ribosomal RNA", at positions 29 to 507 of the family's 1533-position model. The record is from RNAcentral.